GAGCCAAUUGAAAUCCUAAACGGAAGCACUCUUUGAUGUACACACGAAUUUAAUUUGCAGAGGGAAGGUUUCUUUUUUCUAGAGGUCUCAGUGAGGGGCAGUAGGCUUUUCUUCCCAAAGUAAAGAUAAACACCGAGCGUCGGGUUUCCAGUUAAACGGAGUCAGCGUUAACAUGCGCAACCACCAGCGCGUCCAGCCUGUGGCAGAUGCCCCUUUGGGGCAGGCCGAAGUCUUCCAGCCGUGAACGGCGGAGCGCUAGUGCCCGCCCUCCAAACAGGCCAAUCAGAAAGGAGAAAAGUCUGGGAGCCGAGGGUCGCUGGUUUGUCCCUGGGCCAAUCGAAAGAGCCCUGAUUUGGCGGGAGUCUUGACGGUUUCCGGGCUCUCGGUCCCCGCGCGCGUUCGGGCUAUCCCGCCGCCGUGGCCAUGUUCGUGUCCGAUUUCCGCAAGGAAUUCUACGAGGUGGUCCAGAGUCAGAGGGUCCUUCUCUUCGUGGCCUCGGACGUGGACGCUCUGUGCGCUUGCAAGAUCCUUCAGGCCCUGUUCCAGUGUGACCACGUGCCAUAUACGCUGGUUCCAGUUUCUGGGUGGCAAGAACUUGAAACUGCAUUUCUUGAGCAUAAAGAGCAGUUCCAUUACUUCAUCCUCAUAAACUGUGGCGCUAACGUGGACCUAUUGGAUAUACUUCAACCCGAUGAAGAUACCAUAUUUUUCGUGUGUGACACUCACAGGCCAGUCAAUGUUGUGAACGUGUACAAUGAUACCCAGAUCAAACUGCUUAUUAAACAAGAUGACGACCUGGAAGUUCCUGCCUAUGACGACCUCUUUAGGGAUGAAGAGGAAGAUGAAGAACAUUCAGGAAACGAAAGCGAUGAGGGGUCAGAGCCUUCUGAGAAGCGCACACGGUUAGAGGAGCAGGAAAUCGUGGAGCGAACCAUGAAGAGGAGGCAACGAAGAGAGUGGGAGGCCCGCAGAAGAGACAUCCUUUUUGACUACGAACAGUACGAAUACCACGGGACGUCAUCGGCCAUGUUGAUGUUCGACCUGGCGUGGAUGAUGUCUAAGGACCUGAGCGACAUGCUGUGGUGGGCCAUCGUUGGACUAACGGACCAGUGGGUGCAAGACAAAAUCACCCAGAUGAAGUACGUGACUGACGUGGGCGUCCUGCAGAGGCAUGUGUCCCGGCACAGCCAUCGGCACCAGGAUGAGGAGCAUGCGCUCUCCGUUGACUGCAUGCGGAUCUCUUUCGAGUAUGACCUCCGCCUGGCACUCUACCAGCACUGGUCCCUGCAUGACAGCCUGUGUAACACGUGCUACACCGCAGCCAGGUUCAAGCUCUGGUCCCUGCACGGGCAGAAGCGGCUCCAGGAGUUCCUUGCAGACGUGGGCCUCCCCCUGAAACAGGUGAAACAGAAGUUUCAGUCCAUGGACAUCUCCUUGAAGGAGAAUUUGCGGGAGAUGAUUGAAGAGUCUGCGAAUAAGUUUGGCAUGAAGGACAUGCGCAUCCAGACUUUCAGCAUCCAUUUUGGCUUCAAGCAUAAGUUCCUGGCCAGUGAUGUGGUCUUUGCCACCAUGGCGCUGAUGGAGAGCCCCGAGAAGGACGGCUCCGGGACAGAUAAUUUCAUCCAGGCUCUGGACAGUCUCUCCAGGAGCAACCUGGACAAACUGUAUCAUGGCCUGGAGCUUGCCAAGCAGCAGCUGCGAGCCACCCAGCAGACCAUCGCCAGCUGCCUCUGCACCAACCUCAUCAUUUCCCAAGGGCCUUUCCUCUACUGCUCCCUCAUGGAGGGCACUCCCGAUGUCAUGCUCUUCUCCAAGCCAGCGUCCCUGAGCCUGCUCAGCAGACACCUGCUCAAGUCCUUCGUGUGCUGGACAAAGAACCGGCGCUGCAAGCUACUGCCCUUGGUGAUGGCCGCACCGCUGAGUGUGGAGCAGGGCACCGUGACCAUGGUGGGCAUCCCGCCGGAGACUGACAGCUCGGACAAAAAGAACUUUUUUGGCCGGGCGUUUGAGAAGGCGGCAGAGAGCACCAACUCCCGGACGAUGCACAACCAUUUCGAUCUGUCAGGUAAGUAUCCACUGCCAAGUCCUUCAGGGUCAGUGCUGGCUUUGGAACCAGGGAGGUGCUGGUGCUGCCCUGCCAGCAGCCCCCAGGUGCCACACCAGCUCUGGCAGCUCCAAAGGCCCAGGCCCUGCACCUUGACCCUGACAGGCAGGCCGGGCUCUGUACAAUCCAGCCUGAGCCCACUUUACCAAGGAGCCUGGGGACUGGCCAACAGGGCCUCCUGGGCCCAGCCUCACUCCUCAGUGUCACCUGCCACUUCUGUGGGUGCAGAGACAGCAAGGCCUGCAGCAACGAGGGCACCACCUCCGCAGCCGUGCAGGUCACACCAUGGUGCCCUGAGACUGCUGUAGGGUGGUUCUGUGGAGACUUUCCUGUAGGCUGCCAGCAACCCCCACUCCACCCACAGCUUCUCUAGAUGCUAGUGUGAACAUGGUUCACAUUUGGCCAUGUUUGCUCCUUUUUUUUUUUUCUCUUUUUAGGGCCAUACCUGUGGCAUAUGGAAGUUCCCAGGCUGGGGCUUGAAUUGGAGCUGCAGAUGCUGGUCUAUACCAUUGCCACAGCAACACCAGAUCCGAGCCACGUCUGGGACCUAUGCCACAGCUCAUGGCAACACCGGAUCCUUACUUAGCCCAGUAAGUGUGGACAGGGAUUGAACCCACGUCCUCAUGGACCCUAUGUCAGGUUCUUAACCCGCUGAACCGCUGAGCCAUGUUUGCCUCCUAUGCUUGCAACAAAUUUCAAAGUAAAGCAGAUGUUUGGCACUUAACCCCGUGUUAGUGAGAUUGGCUGCUGUGACAAAGUGCCACAGACUGGCGGGGGUUAAACCACAGAAAUGAAUGUCUCACUGUGUGGAGCUGGACAUUUCAGGUCAAGGUGGCAGGGCUGGUUCCCCCUGAGGCCUCUCUCCUUGGCGUGCAUUCGGCUGCCUUGACUGUGUCCUCAUGCGGCUCUCCCUCUGUGUGUCUGUGUCCUAUCCUUCCUGUAAGGACAGUAGAUUAGAUCAGGUCCCACCCUAAUAACCGUAUUUAACUUGAUUCCCCUUUUAAAAGGCCAUUUCCAGGUAUAUUCACAUUCUGAAGUGCCGGGGGUCAGGGUGCAACAUGGCAAAUUUGGGAGGUUGGACUUCAAUCCAUGGUACCCAUCUCUCAGAAGGGACACCACCUCCUGAUCCUCAGCGAGGACCAGUCACUGCAGUCAGAGCCCCAGCCUUCAGCCCAUUGCCUCGGGUGUCCAGAGCAGGCAUCCUCCUGCCUGGUCCUCUCAGCUGUGGCCCCGUGUUGGGUGGGUUCACUCCAGGGGCAGCCCCCUGACUCCUGUCUCAUGCCUGAGACACGGGACAGGUUGGUGCUGGCUGGCCUGAAGAGUGUGCCAGCUCUUCCACAUGGGGAGCUCGGGGCUUCCCCUGGGCAGACAACUUACAGAGGAUAUGGUGGGAGCUGUGACCUGAGGUGUACAGCUCACAGGACCAGGCCGGCCUGGCUUUGCCUGAUAAGGGCCCACAUGCUGGUCCGAACCUGAUGGCCCACAGAGGGGGCAGGCCACACUGCAUCCCCUCCUACAGAAUAGAGCACUGGGGCUGAGGGACAGGCCAACGCAGGAGGAAGGUUGGCCUCCUGCCAGACCCCAGGGCCUCUCCCACCACUCAGUUGCAGGGCUUUGUGUCUGCAGGGUGGGAGGCUCCUCUGUUGGGUCUGUGGUAUUCAGAGUGUCACAUCAUGUGUUCCCUCUGUUGGCUGUUACUGUCCCCUGGGUCCUCCCCACAGCCACAGCCCCUACCACAUCGAUGAGGUAGCUGACUGUUUCUGAGGGUUAAAUGGGCCCCAGGCCAUCAGGGAGCAAAGGCGCUGUGGAAUGUGGUGGAGGGCUGUGGCCGCGGGGAUGUGGGAGUUAACCUGACAGUUGACGGCUUCUCCCCUUGCUCUGUCCCUGCUCCUCCCAUCCCAACCAUGUUUUCCUUUCAUUACUGCAGUGAUUGAGCUGAAAGCCGAGGACCGCAGCAAGUUCCUGGAUGCACUCGUUUCCCUCCUGUCCUAGGAGUUUGAUUUCUUCAAAAGUGACCUCCUAUUUAUGUUGGCUGGCUUUUAUUUAGAUUCUAAGUUAUAGGCGUAGUUCUAGAUGUAGGAACAGUGGUUUUUAAUGGAAUAAAAUGCUGAUUUUAGGUUUGA
Molecule: non-coding RNA, 4227 nt
Organism: Sus scrofa (pig)
Lineage: Eukaryota; Metazoa; Chordata; Mammalia; Artiodactyla; Suidae
Source: RefSeq, a predicted model, not a curated record